GAUCUGCCCGAUAGAGGGGGAUAACUACUGGAAACGGUGGCUAAUACCGCAUAAUGUCUACGGACCAAAGCAGGGGCUCUUCGGACCUUGCACUAUCGGAUGAACCCAUAUGGGAUUAGCUAGUAGGUGGGGUAAAGGCCCACCUAGGCGACGAUCUCUAGCUGGUCUGAGAGGAUGAUCAGCCACACUGGGACUGAGACACGGCCCAGACUCCUACGGGAGGCAGCAGUGGGGAAUAUUGCACAAUGGGCGCAAGCCUGAUGCAGCCAUGCCGCGUGUGUGAAGAAGGCCUUCGGGUUGUAAAGCACUUUCAGUUGUGAGGAAAGGUUAGUAGUUAAUACCUGCUAGCUGUGACGUUAGCAACAGAAGAAGCACCGGCUAACUCCGUGCCAGCAGCCGCGGUAAUACGGAGGGUGCGAGCGUUAAUCGGAAUUACUGGGCGUAAAGCGUACGCAGGCGGUUGAUUAAGCGAGAUGUGAAAGCCCCGGGCUCAACCUGGGAACUGCAUUUCGAACUGGUCAACUAGAGUGUGAUAGAGGG
RNAcentral lists this ribosomal RNA (540 nucleotides) under uncultured Pseudoalteromonas sp. RNAcentral describes it as "bacterial SSU rRNA". It matches the Rfam family "Bacterial small subunit ribosomal RNA", at positions 123 to 658 of the family's 1533-position model. Lineage: Bacteria; Pseudomonadati; Pseudomonadota; Gammaproteobacteria; Alteromonadales; Pseudoalteromonadaceae. The record is from RNAcentral.